Molecule: non-coding RNA, 80 nt
Organism: Podarcis lilfordi (Lilford's wall lizard)
Lineage: Eukaryota; Metazoa; Chordata; Lepidosauria; Squamata; Lacertidae
Source: the annotation of a GenBank genome assembly
AACUGAGAGCCAGGCUGGCGUAGUGGUUAGAGGGUCAGACUAGGAACUAGGAGGCUGGGGUUCAAAUCCCCACUCAGUCA